Molecule: ribosomal RNA, 481 nt
Filed under: uncultured bacterium
Lineage: Bacteria
Description: partial 16S ribosomal RNA
Rfam family: Bacterial small subunit ribosomal RNA
Source: RNAcentral
AUUGAACGCUGGCGGCAUGCUUUACACAUGCAAGUCGAACGGUAACAGCACUUCGGUGGCUGACGAGUGGCGAACGGGUGAGUAAUACAUCGGAACGUGCCUAGUAGUGGGGGAUAACUACUCGAAAGAGUAGCUAAUACCGCAUGAGAUCUAAGGAUGAAAGCAGGGGACCUUCGGGCCUUGCGCUACUAGAGCGGCUGAUGGCAGAUUAGGUAGUUGGUGGGAUAAAAGCUUACCAAGCCGACGAUCUGUAGCUGGUCUGAGAGGACGACCAGCCACACUGGGGGUGAGAGACGGGCCAGACACCCACGGGGGGGAGAGGGGGGGGAAUUUGGGGAAAGGGGGCAAGCCCUUUCCCGCAAAGGCCCGGGAGGAGGAAGAGCCUUCGGGGUGUAAAAUGUUUUUUUGCGGAAAGAAAAACCCCCUCUUAAAACAGGGGGGGCACGCGGGGACCGAAAAAAAAAACCCCGGCUAACUACGU